Molecule: long non-coding RNA, 150 nt
Organism: Prinia subflava (tawny-flanked prinia)
Lineage: Eukaryota; Metazoa; Chordata; Aves; Passeriformes; Cisticolidae
Exons: 2
Source: RefSeq, a predicted model, not a curated record
UUCUGGAAUCUUUCUCAGAUCCGGGAUCCGCUCGGUUCUGGAAUCUUCCUCAGAUCCGGGAUCCGCUCGAUUCUGGGAUCUUCUUCAGCUUCUGGGAUCUUCCUCAGCUCCGGGAUCUCUUCUUGAACUCUGGGAUCUCCUGAGCUUCAG